CUUCAUCUCUCUCAAAUCUAAGAUUACAAAUUGGGAGAACCCUAACCCCAAAUCAAUUUGAUCUUAAAAUAAAAGGCACGAUAAGGGUAUAUUGCUCAGUCCCUUGGCAUGGAGAAAACAAACAGAGGUAUUGCAGAAAAUUUUUCCCUAAUAUCACUGCUACUACAUCGGUGGGUCCAAUUAAUGUUGUCUUGAUAUUUAUUCUAGUUUACUUGGGUAAUUUUUGGUUAAAAUAGCAUGCAUUUGUUGUCAUAAGUAAAUUUUGGCCAAAUCAGUGUAUGUGUUGUUGCAAAUAUAGAUUUAUGUUCUCGUGGAAUAUGGGUAUAUUUCUUAUUCCUGCAGUUUACAUGUCUAUACAAAACUAUGAAACAUGGUGGAAUUAGGAUGUUAUCUUUGCUUGUAACAUUACUUAGAAAAGAACUUGAACCCAAAUUGCUUGAAAAAUGAUUUUGUUACUGUCCAUAUAUUGAUGGAACAAGAGGUGAUAUAUUUUGAGACAAUGGGUUUGCACCAAAUUUAUGUAAUAAAAAAUUGUGUGUAGUAUUGUGGUGUUUCAUUAAGAUUAUUGUUUUUCUGUCUGAUAGGAAAGAACAAGGGGAUUUGCCAUAGUUGCAGACAGCCUAUGCACCAAUUGUGGAUAUGCCCCAAAAAGCAACGAUGUCCAGAGUAUGCCAAUGUUUUCAUGAAAUUGAUGGAAAUAGUAAAGACCAAAAACAUAGGUUGGUAAUUUUUUUGUUACACUAGAGAUCGAGGGUUUUUUUAGUGGAGUGACGUCUCGCCAGACAAACAAAAACCAUUAAAGGAUGACGGUUAGCCUAGUUGUGUUAAAGAAGAACGCAAUAUGGUUCCAAUUGAAGAUCUGUCGCUUCGAUUUACAAGUGUUGCUCAAAUUACCCAAAAAAAGGACUUCAAUAUAUCAUUAAACUUAACCUUUGCACGGGUGAUGGAGUCACAGGAGAUAGUGGUGAACGAAGAGGAAGAGAGUUGUGAAAAACUUCCAAAUUGUAUUCGAGGAGAAGUAGAUUUUUCAUGUUUUCAGUUUGUGUGUUGUUGAAGUUAACUAUUGUUAACUUUUUUUUCUUUUCGAUGGUCGAUGUUGUGAUGUGCUGGAGCCUAUCAAUAGUAUAAAUAUGUUGUUAAUACUUAUGUUAAAUGUUAUUUGUUGAAAUCUUUAUUGCUAAAACCUUUACUGUUGGUAGUAUAAAAUAUGUUAAAUGUUAUGUUGUUG
Molecule: long non-coding RNA, 1228 nt
Filed under: Olea europaea subsp. europaea
Lineage: Eukaryota; Viridiplantae; Streptophyta; Magnoliopsida; Lamiales; Oleaceae
Source: RNAcentral